RNAcentral lists this ribosomal RNA (580 nucleotides) under uncultured Acinetobacter sp. Its description in RNAcentral is "bacterial SSU rRNA". It matches the Rfam family "Bacterial small subunit ribosomal RNA", at positions 116 to 689 of the family's 1533-position model. The record is from RNAcentral. Lineage: Bacteria; Pseudomonadati; Pseudomonadota; Gammaproteobacteria; Moraxellales; Moraxellaceae.
CUUAGGAAUCUGCCUAUUAGUGGGGGACAACAUUUCGAAAGGAAUGCUAAUACCGCAUACGUCCUACGGGAGAAAGCAGGGGAUCUUCGGACCUUGCGCUAAUAGAUGAGCCUAAGUCGGAUUAGCUAGUUGGUGGGGUAAAGGCCUACCAAGGCGACGAUCUGUAGCGGGUCUGAGAGGAUGAUCCGCCACACUGGGACUGAGACACGGCCCAGACUCCUACGGGAGGCAGCAGUGGGGAAUAUUGGACAAUGGGCGCAAGCCUGAUCCAGCCAUGCCGCGUGUGUGAAGAAGGCCUUAUGGUUGUAAAGCACUUUAAGCGAGGAGGAGGCUACUUUAGUUAAUACCUAGAGAUAGUGGACGUUACUCGCAAAAUAAGCACCGGCUAACUCUGUGCCAGCAGCCGCGGUAAUACAGAGGGUGCAAGCGUUAAUCGGAUUUACUGGGCGUAAAGCGCGCGUAGGCGGCUAAUUAAGUCAAAUGUGAAAUCCCCGAGCUUAACUUGGGAAUUGCAUUCGAUACUGGUUAGCUAGAGUGUGGGGAGAGGAUGGUAGAAUUCCCGGUGUAGCGGGUGAAAUGC